RNAcentral lists this ribosomal RNA (253 nucleotides) under uncultured bacterium. RNAcentral describes it as "partial 16S ribosomal RNA". It matches the Rfam family "Bacterial small subunit ribosomal RNA", at positions 524 to 776 of the family's 1533-position model. The record is from RNAcentral.
UACGGGGGGGGCAAGCGUUGUUCGGAAUUACUGGGCGUAAAGGGUUCGUAGGUGGCCAACUAAGUCAGACGUGAAAUCCCUCAGCUUAACUGGGGAACUGCGUCUGAUACUGGUUGGCUUGAGUGCAGGAGAGGAACGCGGAAUUCCAGGUGUAGCGGUGAAAUGCGUAGAUAUCUGGAGGAACACCGGUGGCGAAGGCGGCGAUCUGGGUCGAUACUGACGCUGAGGUGCGAAAGCGUGGGGAGCGAACGGG